CAUAUGGAAUAAAACAUCCCAUUAGUGAGGUUUUGUUUGAGUGACAAAACCUGGACCAAGGGUUCCUACUUCUAAGUUGCUGACCAGCUUCUGACCCCUGGCACAUUGGUACCAUACUCACUCUAAACUAACCCUGCAUUCACUGUUCAACUCCUAGACAUCUGGCAGGUUGUUCUUCAUUUUGGUGCAUCAGCAAAACACCUCCAUGUGACUGUUUUAAUCCAAACCCUAUCCUCAGUCAAUGGGCCAAUACUUAUAAGAACAGUUUAAAUAUUGUAAUUCCUCCAUGGUGUCUUUCGUUUCUCAGGUAUAAAAAAGAAUGCUGUUCUAGAUGCAUUGGUUCAAUGAGAUCCUCAUUUAUUUCUCUUUCAUUUCGCAGCUUCAAAAUAUGAAUCCUUUUCUCUUCCUCGCCACCCUUUGCUUGGGAAUGGCCUCAGCUGCCCCAAAACUUAAUCACUCUUUGGAUGCACAGUAAAAAGAGUGGAAGACAAAACACAACAAAACCUACAGCAAAGUUGGUGGCAUCAAAAGUGUCCAUUAGAACCCCAGAGAGACUCCAUAGCCAGGGAGGAGCUUCCAGAAGCCAGGUUUUACCAAAGCAGUAACCUAAUGACACCUGUUUGAGCACAAUAUGGAAACAACCCUGCUGUCUCUGGACAUUUGUAGCUCCCAGAAGUUCAAAGCUAUCCCUGGCCAAAGUGUCUCUUCAUUUUUUGGGCGUGGGUUUUAAACAGAAUGAGAGACCAUCACUUGUGCUUAUUUCUAGAAUGAAGAAGGACAGAGGCGAGCAGUAUGGGAGGAGAAUUUGAAAAUGAUUGAGCUGCACAAUGAGGAGCACAGCCAGGGGAAACACGGCUUCAUUCACCUUGUCGAUGAAAGGACAUGAUUACAGGGCCUGCCACCGCGCCUGGAAUUUCUGAAUCCUUCCACGAGAUGCAGCUGUCACCCGCAAUCCCAAAGGGGUGCAGCCCCACCGGCCUUCCCACCCCAGAGUUACGCAACACCAGCUGGGGCCGCGCACUGCUGUUCACCUCUCUCACGCAUCUGCCUGUGGCUGCCAUGCUGGCUCACCCCCCUCUCCACCACCUGGCACAGGAUGGGUCCAGCCUGCCGGCCACUGUGGCCCAGACACUGAGGCUGGUCCCCACAGGAACCCUGACGGCCAGCGUGUGGCUCCUCGGGAACCUGGGAGGCGAGGGGGAGGGACACUAGCA
Molecule: long non-coding RNA, 1214 nt
Filed under: Castor canadensis (American beaver)
Lineage: Eukaryota; Metazoa; Chordata; Mammalia; Rodentia; Castoridae
Description: lncRNA (ENSCCNG00000006942.1)
Source: RNAcentral